AACUACACAAAGUCCUCCCAAUGAAUGGCGGAGACGGACACAAUAGCUACGCCAAUAACUCCCCGCUUCAGAACAAAGUGAUUUUAAGGGUAAAACCCAAUUUACAAGAAAGCAUUGCGGAUCUAUACAGCAAGAAUUUCCCAGACUGCAUAACAAUGGCGGACAUGGGUUGCUCUUCAGGUCCCAACACUUUCCUCCCAAUAUGGCAGGUCAUAGAGGCUCUUGAUGAAACUUGCCGUAGAUUGAAUCGAAAGCCCCCCAUAUUGCAGGUGUUCUUGAAUGAUCAUCCAGAGAAUGAUUUCAACUUCAUCUUCAAGACAUUGCCUAGUUUCCAUAAGAAACUUGAGGAAGAAAAAGGCAGCAACUUUGGGCCUUGUUUCAUAGCUGCUAUGCCUGGAAAUUUUUAUGGAAGGCUCUUUCGUCCGCAUUCCCUUCACUUUGUUUACUCUUCCUACAGUCUCCAGUGGUGCUCUGAGGUACCAAAAAUUCCAGUAAACAAAGGUAACAUUUACCUGGCAAAGACAAGUCCUCCUAGCGUUCACAGGGCAUACCUGAAUCAAUUUGAGAAAGACAUGAAAGCAUUUUUGAGUUGUCGCUCUGAAGAAAUCAUUCAAGGAGGCCACAUGUUUAUCACAAUUUAUGGAAGAGAUGACAAUUAUGAUGAUUCUUCCCACAAGUACACGCCUAAUAUGUGGGAGUUACUGGGGAUAACACUAAAUGACAUGGUCUCCGAGGGUUUAAUUGAAGAAUCAAAACUGGACUCCUUCAACAUUCCAGUCUAUGGACCAUCUGCUGAAGAAUUGAAAAAUGUGAUUGAAGCACAAGGAUCAUUUACCAUCAAUAGACUUGAAACGUUCAAAGUAGGCUGGGUUGAAGCCAUGGAUAAUCCUUACAAGGACUCAAUGGAUAAGUAUAAGAGAGGCAAGCAUAUAGCAAGUCGAAUAAGAGGUAUCUCAGAGUCUCUUCUAGCAUUUCAUUUUGGAUGUGAGUUUAUUGAUAAUAUAUUUCAAAGGUUUUCCAUAAAGAUCGAAGAACAAUUGGAAUUAACAAUGGAUGGUGGUAACACCAAUCAUGUCGUUUCAAUGACCAAGAAAUGAAUACUUAUAAAGCUCAUUAGUAUUCCUUCGAUUUCUUAUUAGCAAUGUAUGAAUGUUAGCCUAAUCAGGCUCUCUUAACUUGAAU
This 1182-nucleotide unclassified non-coding RNA is filed under the name Hevea brasiliensis (rubber tree). Lineage: Eukaryota; Viridiplantae; Streptophyta; Magnoliopsida; Malpighiales; Euphorbiaceae. The record is from RNAcentral.